CCUACGGGUGGCAGCAGUGGUGAAUAUUUGUCAAUGGGCGCAAGCCUGACCCAGCAACGCCGCGUGAAGGAAGACGGCCCUCGGGUUUUAAACUUCUUUUAUUCGGGACGAAACAAAUGACGUGACCGAAUGAAUAAGCCACGGCUAACUACGGGCCCGCAGCCGCGGUAAUACGUAGGUGCCCAGCGUUAUCCGGAUUUACUGUGUGUAAAGGGCGUGUAGGCGGGAGAGCAAGUCAGCCGUGAAAUACAAGGGCUCAACCCUGGAACUGCGUUUGAAACUGUUCUUCUUGAGUGGUGGAGAGGCAGGCGGAAUUCCGUGUGUAGCGGUGAAAUGCAUAGAUAUACGGAGGAACACCAGUGGCGAAGGCGGCCUGCUGGACAUUAACUGACGCUGAGGCGCGAAAGCGUGGGGAGCAAACAGGAUUAGAUACCCUAGUAGUC
RNAcentral lists this ribosomal RNA (443 nucleotides) under uncultured bacterium. RNAcentral's name for it is "partial 16S ribosomal RNA". It matches the Rfam family "Bacterial small subunit ribosomal RNA", at positions 338 to 795 of the family's 1533-position model. The record is from RNAcentral.